GACGCACUUUGGGUACCACUAUCAGUACUCUUGUGUUUCCUACCUUUAUCACAACCAAAUAUUAAUUUGUUAAUUCUCCCUCUCUUCCCUGUUUCAGUAUCUGAACGACUGAUAAUAACAGUUACUUUAUUAUCGAUUCCAACCUCUUUAAUCCAUCUGAUAACCUCUUCUCGUGUACCAAAUCUUUCGAUCGUUAUAAACGCAUCAGUAGUAUCUACACAUAUUUGGGGAAGAUUUU
This 238-nucleotide long non-coding RNA is filed under the name Lathyrus oleraceus (garden pea). RNAcentral's name for it is "Pisum sativum (pea) long non-coding RNA (PSAT_LNC003419)". Lineage: Eukaryota; Viridiplantae; Streptophyta; Magnoliopsida; Fabales; Fabaceae. The record is from RNAcentral.